GGGUUCAAUGUCUCUCGUCACAUUUGGACUUUCCCAUUGAGAGGGUGCAGUUCCCAAGGUCUGGUUUUCAUAGAAGAGUCUUCAUGCAGCUCUUCAAAUAUGCUGUUUCCAGUCAUCGAUAUAGUUCCCCGUGCAUUGGUGAAAGAUACAAUUCCUCAUGAACUGAUGCCUAAGGCCCUACAGCGUACCUGCUACUGCCCAGUCCUAACAGAAGCUCACGCUGAUAUUAGUGAGGAAAAGACACCAGUCCUCAUUAACUGUCUGGUGGCUAACACCCUGCAGC
This is a long non-coding RNA of Myotis lucifugus (little brown bat), 283 nucleotides long. RefSeq lists it as uncharacterized. The transcript has 3 exons. The record is from RefSeq and is a predicted model, not a curated record. Lineage: Eukaryota; Metazoa; Chordata; Mammalia; Chiroptera; Vespertilionidae.